GGGAACCGGUGGUGGACGGACCGCUCGCCAACCCGGUCAGGUCCGGAAGGAAGCAGCCGUAACGAUUCCGGUCCGGGUUGCUGCCGGUUCCCACC
Molecule: signal recognition particle RNA, 95 nt
Filed under: Alphaproteobacteria bacterium
Lineage: Bacteria; Pseudomonadati; Pseudomonadota; Alphaproteobacteria
Description: signal recognition particle sRNA small type
Rfam family: Bacterial small signal recognition particle RNA
About the family: The signal recognition particle (SRP) is a universally conserved ribonucleoprotein involved in the co-translational targeting of proteins to membranes.
Source: RNAcentral